CCCGCUGAACUUAAGCAUAUCAAUAAGCGGAGGAAAAGAAACUAACAAGGAUUCCCCUAGUAACUGCGAGUGAAGAGGGAAAAGCUCAAAUUUGAAAUCUGGCGGUCUUUGGCUGUCCGAGUUGUAAUUUAGAGAAGUGUUACCCGAGCUAUACCGUGUAUAAGUCUCCUGGAAUGGAGCGUCAUAGAGGGUGAGAAUCCCGUCUUUGACACGGAUAAUAGUUCAUUGUGGUGCGCUCUCAAAGAGUCGAGUUGUUUGGGAAUGCAGCUCUAAAUGGGUGGUAAAUUCCAUCUAAAGCUAAAUAUUGGGGAGAGACCGAUAGCGAACAAGUACCGUGAGGGAAAGAUGAAAAGAACUUUGGAAAGAGAGUUAAACAGUACGUGAAAUUGCUGAAAGGGAAACGCUUGAAGUCAGUCGCGUUUGCUUGAGAUCAGCCUUGCUUGAUUGCUUGGUGUAUUCUCUCGCACACGGGUCAGCAUCAAUUUGGGUUGCCGGAUAAAAGCAGAGGGAAAGUGGCACCUUUCGGGGUGUGUUAUAGUCCUUUGUUGUAUACGGUGACUCGGAUUGAGGAACUCAGCACGACCUUCGGGUUUGGGGCUUCGGCCUACAAUUUCGUGCUUAGGAUGCUGGCAUAAUGGCUUUAAGCGACCCGUCUUGAAACACGG
Molecule: ribosomal RNA, 665 nt
Filed under: uncultured fungus
Lineage: Eukaryota; Fungi
Description: eukaryotic LSU rRNA
Rfam family: Eukaryotic large subunit ribosomal RNA
Source: RNAcentral